GACGAACGCUGGCGGCGUGCCUAAUACAUGCAAGUUGAGCGCUGAAGGUUGGUACUUGUACCAACUGGAUGAGCAGCGAACGGGUGAGUAACGCGUGGGGAAUCUGCCUUUGAGCGGGGGACAACAUUUGGAAACGAAUGCUAAUACCGCAUAAAAACUCUAAACACAAGUUUUAAGUUUGAAAGAUGCAAUUGCAUCACUCAAAGAUGAUCCCGCGUUGUAUUAGCUAGUUGGUGAGGUAAAGGCUCACCAAGGCGAUGAUACAUAGCCGACCUGAGAGGGUGAUCGGCCACAUUGGGACUCAGACACGGCCCAAACUCCUACGGGAGGCAGCAGUAGGGAAUCUUCGGCAAUGGACGAAAGUCUGACCGAGCAACGCCGCGUGAGUGAAGAAGGUUUUCGGAUCGUAAAACUCUGUUGGUAGAGAAGAACGUUGGUGAGAGUGGAAAGCUCAUCAAGUGACGGUAACUACCCAGAAAGGGACGGCUAACUACGUG
This 497-nucleotide ribosomal RNA is filed under the name uncultured bacterium. Its description in RNAcentral is "partial 16S ribosomal RNA". It matches the Rfam family "Bacterial small subunit ribosomal RNA", at positions 28 to 507 of the family's 1533-position model. The record is from RNAcentral.